GAUGAACGCUGGCGGCGUGCUUAACACAUGCAAGUCGAGCGAGAAGUGAAGACGGAAACCUUCGGGCGGAAGGCUUUAUUUCGAGUGGCGGACGGGUGAGUAACGCGUGGGUAACCUGCCUCAUACAGGGGGAUAACAGUUGGAAACGACUGUUAAUACCGCAUAAGACCACAGCACCGCAUGGUGCGGGGGUAAAAACUCCGGUGGUAUGAGAUGGACCCGCGUUCGAUUAGCCAGUUGGCGGGGUAACGGCCCACCAAAGCGACGAUCGAUAGCCGAGCUGAGAGGAUGACCGGCCACAUUGGGACUGAGACACGGCCCAAACUCCUACGGGAGGCAGCAGUGGGGAAUAUUGCACAAUGGGGGAAACCCUGAUGCAGCGACGCCGCGUGAGUGAAGAAGUAUUUCGGUAUGUAAAGCUCUAUCAGCAGGGAAGAAAAUGACGGUACCUGAGGAAGAAGCCCCGGCUAACUACGUG
Molecule: ribosomal RNA, 478 nt
Filed under: uncultured bacterium
Lineage: Bacteria
Description: partial 16S ribosomal RNA
Rfam family: Bacterial small subunit ribosomal RNA
Source: RNAcentral